Molecule: ribosomal RNA, 472 nt
Filed under: uncultured Desulfobulbus sp.
Lineage: Bacteria; Pseudomonadati; Thermodesulfobacteriota; Desulfobulbia; Desulfobulbales; Desulfobulbaceae
Description: bacterial SSU rRNA
Rfam family: Bacterial small subunit ribosomal RNA
Source: RNAcentral
ACGGGGCCCGCACAAGCGGUGGAGCAUGUGGUUUAAUUCGAUGCAACGCGAAGAACCUUACCUGGUCUUGACAUCCCGGAGACCCUUAGGAAACUAGGGGGUGCUUCCAUCUGGAAGAAUCUGGAGACAGGUGCUGCAUGGCUGUCGUCAGCUCGUGUCGUGAGAUGUUGGGUUAAGUCCCGCAACGAGCGCAACCCUUGCCUUUAGUUGCCAGCAGUUCGGCUGGGCACUCUAAAGGGACUGCCGGUGUUAAACCGGAGGAAGGUGGGGAUGACGUCAAGUCCUCAUGGCCUUUAUGACCAGGGCUACACACGUACUACAAUGGCCGAUACAAAGGGCAGCGACACUGCGAGGUGAAGCCAAUCCCGUAAAAUCGGUCUCAGUCCGGAUUGGAGUCUGCAACUCGACUCCAUGAAGUUGGAAUCGCUAGUAAUCGUGGAUCAGCAUGCCACGGUGAAUACGUUCCGGCCUU